Molecule: ribosomal RNA, 489 nt
Filed under: uncultured bacterium
Lineage: Bacteria
Description: bacterial SSU rRNA
Rfam family: Bacterial small subunit ribosomal RNA
Source: RNAcentral
UCAGGACGAACGCUGGCGGCGUUGCUUAACACAUGCAAGUCGAACGGAGUUCCUUGGAUAGAGGCUUCGGCCAAUUGAAAUGGAACUUAGUGGCGGACUGGUGAGUAACGCGUGAGGAACCUGCCUUUCAGAGGGGGACAACAGUUGGAAACGACUGCUAAUACCGCAUGACACAUUCGGAUGGCAUCACCUGAAUGUCAAAGAUUUUAUCGCUGAAAGAUGGCCUCGCGUCUGAUUAGCUAGUUGGUGGGGUAACGGCCCACCAAGGCGACGAUCAGUAGCCGGACUGAGAGGUUGACCGGCCACAUUGGGACUGAGACACGGUCCAGACUCCUACGGGAGGCAGCAGUGGGGAAUAUUGGGCAAUGGGCGAAAGCCUGACCCAGCGACGCCGCGUGAGGGAAGAACGAUCUUCGGAUUGUAAACCUUAGUCAACAGGGAAGAAGAAAGUGACGGUUACCUGUGGAGGAAGCCACGGCUAACUACGUG